This 494-nucleotide ribosomal RNA is filed under the name uncultured bacterium. RNAcentral's name for it is "partial 16S ribosomal RNA". It matches the Rfam family "Bacterial small subunit ribosomal RNA", at positions 28 to 507 of the family's 1533-position model. The record is from RNAcentral.
GACGAACGCUGGCGGCGUGCUUAACACAUGCAAGUCGAACGGUGAAGCGCCUUCCUUUUUGGUGGGUGUGGAUGAGUGGCGAACGGGUGAGUAACACGUGAGUAACCUGCCCCCUUCUUCUGGAUAACCGCAUGAAAGUGUGGCUAAUACGGGAUAUUCUGGGUCUGUCGCAUGAUGGGUCUGGGAAAGAUAUUGUUUCGGUGGGGGAUGGGCUCGCGGCCUAUCAGCUUGUUGGGGGGGUGAUGGCCUACCAAGGCGGUGACGGGUAGCCGGCCUGGGAGGGUGGACGGUCACACUGGGACUGAGACACGGCCCAGACUCCUACGGGAGGCAGCAGUGGGGAAUAUUGCACAGUGGGCGCAAGCCUGAUGCAGCGACGCCGCGUGAGGGAUGGAGGCCUUCGGGUUGUGAACCUCUUUCGCCAGUGAAGCAGGCCUGCCUCGUUUGUGGGUGGGUUGACGGUAGCUGGAUAAGAAGCGCCGGCUAACUACGUG